UACGGGGGGAGCAAGCGUUGUUCGGAUUUACUGGGCGUAAAGGGCGCGUAGGCGGUCAGUGCAAGUCAGUUGUGAAAUCUCCGGGCUUAACUCGGAAAGGUCAACUGAUACUGCUCGACUAGAGUGCGGAAGGGGCAACUGGAAUUCUUGGUGUAGCGGUGAAAUGCGUAGAUAUCAAGAGGAACACCUGAGGUGAAGACGGGUUGCUGGGCCGACACUGACGCUGGAGCGCGAAAGCCAGGGGAGCAAACGGG
Molecule: ribosomal RNA, 254 nt
Filed under: uncultured bacterium
Lineage: Bacteria
Description: partial 16S ribosomal RNA
Rfam family: Bacterial small subunit ribosomal RNA
Source: RNAcentral